Molecule: long non-coding RNA, 3059 nt
Filed under: Homo sapiens (human)
Lineage: Eukaryota; Metazoa; Chordata; Mammalia; Primates; Hominidae
Description: HSALNT0249008
Source: RNAcentral
CUUUUUGUUCCACAUCAGGGAAUUCACAGGGUAUCCAUUAGAAACCAUAUCACAUUUACAAGGCUCCACGGACUUCCUUAAGCCUUGAUGCUCCAACGGGUUAUACAGGCUAAGAGGUGGGGAUGAGUGCAGAUCCGAAGUGGGUGGGUGAGGAUCUCCCAGCCUCUCAGCCCUGGCACGGGGACUUGCUUUUCUCCAGGCUAUCUGGUUCUCUCUGUUUAUUCUCUGCCUGCUUUCCUUGUGUCUCUCGUUGUUUCUCUCUAAAUCUCCAUCUUUCCCUCUCUGUCCCUCUCCCCCUCCCUCCUUUCCUCUCUGUCUUUGUAACUCUCCCUCAAUUUUACUCAUUUUAGUGGUUCACUCUUUGGAUCUAGGACCUUGGUCAGCAUGAGCAUUGCACUCACAGAGAGGGUGACACGUUUCCUGAUGCCUGAAAGAGAGAAAUAAGAUGGCCCAGGAGACUCCAGGGCACUCUGCCCACUAAGCAUCUUUUUGGUCCUCCCCCUGCCAGAUUGAAAGAUGACAGACUGAGGACAAGCCCUAAGGGGACAGAGAGUCUAAGGCUCCAUGUUCCAACUCUGCAAGCCCCACCUCAGCUCAACUCAACACCUUAGACCUUCAGCUCACAGUUCUCUACAGGACACUUGUGAAAACUUGGAAAAUAUUAAUUGCUUAACAGUCCGCUUGCAAGUUGAACAGGCAGAUAAGGAGGAAAAGCCUUUCUUCUUUGACAAGCUUUCCAUGAAACAUAACCCCAGAACACGAGUGCCCAGAUGUAUACAUUCCAGGCAUGAAAAUGAAGGAUAAUUCUCCAAAAAGACUGACUGGCCCUUGGGACAAGAUCCACAGAGACUUCAUCUGAAACGUUCUUCAUCAAUCAAGAUCAUUUUUACUCAACACAACUUGUCACUCAAGUUUAAUGACCUUCACUACCAGAAGCCCAGAGUUCUAGAGUUAACUGCAUCCUACUUGACCCUGGUGUGGUAUUGGCCAACAAAGAGGCAGCAGGACAAAGAACACACAAUGGAGCUUGGGGCUCAACAACCUGGGAUCUGGGGCCAGACUCCACUUUGAAACUUUGGGUUUGCUCAUUACACACAGUGUCGGCAGCUGGUGAGUGUCUUUUGCAAUUCAUCAGAGGCCUCCAAGACCACCUGCUCUCGGCAUCCUGCAAACAGCUGGCUCUGGGAAAAGCCACAGGGAGGCUUUGUGGAGCUUGAGCUAAGGCCACCAGAUGUCCCAGGAUUAAGAAGCCAAUCCCAGUUUCCAAGGUCGUCACCACUUUAAUUUUUUGUAACGUUUGCCUCAAUUUUUAACCCUGAAAUGACCCUCUAUGUGGCCAUGCCCUACUCCAGUCCCUGAAGAAAAGCUAGAGAUGGUGGGAGCAGGAGCCAAAAGCUGGGCACUGGCAAGAAGGAAGGACAAGUUUAGAGAGGAGACACGUUGCAGGUCAGCCACAAUGUGGCUGACCUUGACAAUACAGAAACCAAAAACCAGGUGAAGGUCUGGGAAUGGGUGUCAUUUUGAGAGGUUUCCAAAGUUUAUCACAGACAGCCAGAAACUUCUCUGAGGUCUACUGAGAAAAUUCUUAUAAUUUGAAGCUGGAUCCUGGAUAACCCAACACAACUACGAUCCCCGUGAAGGAAAAAGUUAUUCAUGAUACUUGUUAAAGAAUGGCAAGGCAAACUCUAUUCAAAGGGGCUACUCCAGUGGGUUUUUUUAGUAGGGAAGAGAAAUUGGGCUCAACUCAGAAUACAAGGAAAAGUGGGAAUUUACAGGCAAGGAGGUCAAGGGGCAGGCUGGGGAGCAGUCCAUGGGAAAUUACUAAGAGGAAACCUCAGGGUUGGAUGUGGUGGCUCACACUUGUAAUCCCAGCACUUUGGGAGGCCAGGGCAGGCGGAUCACUUGAGGUCAGGAGUUCGAGACAAGCCUGGCCAGCAUGGCAAAACCUCGUCUCUACUAAAAAUACAAAAAUUAGCCAGGCAUGGCUACAUGGCAGUGCCACUACAAGCACGUGCCUCCAGACCUCCAAAGAGGAGUCAGGAGGCUGAGGCAGGACAAUUGCUUAAACCCGGGAGGUGGAGGUUGCAGUGGCAGAGGUCACAUCGCCACUGCACUCCAGCUGGGGCAACAGAGUGAGACCCUGUCUCAAAAAAAAAAAUAAUAAAAGGGGGAAACCUCAGGGGUAAGGGGGAUUCUGCCUAAACUGACCUAAUAGGAUUCUUGCUGACAGCAGGCCAGGGUGGCCAGACAUCACCUGAGGAGCUGGUGGGUGGAGGAUGAAGAACCCCAUCAGAUAUCAAGGGUGAUCAGAUAUCAUAGGUAGGACAGUCUGUCUAAACUGACUUAACAGGGUUCCUGCUAAAACUGGACAAUGCAUGGAAUUCAGUGAAUACGAAAGUCCAAAGGUCAGGGCCUAGUUGGAUUCAGGGCCUAGUUGAUUAGAGUUUAGUCCACAAGAGAAUCUUUGUCAUCCCCAGAAUGAUUUAGUGUGGUCUCCACGAAUUGAUCAAAAUUUGGCUGUGUCUUUUUACCUUGUCCUUAUAAAACUGGAAGGGAAUUCUGGCAUAGGAUGGGUACCUAACUGACUCACUGUUUAUGAGCUUCGUCAAUCAAAUGCCUGAAUGAAGCUCUUAGAAAUUGCUAUUUUUAUCUUAUGGCUGGUUAAAAUCUGAAAAAUCCUGCAGCUUCAUUUUUGCCCCCUUUUUUAGUGUGUUUUUAAGGAGUGUUUAUGGAUUGAAUUAAUGCAGAAAAAUGUUUUGCGUUUUAACACAUUGAAAAGUUGGAAAAUAAAAAAUCAAUAUUCCUAAAUUUUUCUUACUUUGAUUCUUCAAGAACCUUGCUAUUAAGAACCCAGCUCUUCUGUGAGGCUGAGGAGCAGUAGCAUCAGCAUCGACUGAGGGACUUGUCAGAAAUACAGACUCCCAGAAUCAGAAUCUACAUUUUAACAUUUCCGAUCCCCAGGUGACUUGUUUGCACAUUAAAGGUUGACAAGCUUCUUACCCUCUUCUGUGCCCUUGAUUCUUUUAGGUCAAAUAUAUCUGGUGUAGAUUGCUACCACC